GCUGGAAUAGCUCAAUGGUAGAGCACCCGACUUGUAAUCGGACGGUUGAGGGUUCAAGUCCUUUUUCCAGCA
RNAcentral lists this transfer RNA (72 nucleotides) under Simkaniaceae bacterium. RNAcentral's name for it is "tRNA-Thr". It matches the Rfam family "tRNA". Rfam says of the family: Transfer RNA (tRNA) molecules are approximately 80 nucleotides in length. Their secondary structure includes four short double-helical elements and three loops (D, anti-codon, and T loops). Lineage: Bacteria; Pseudomonadati; Chlamydiota; Chlamydiia; Parachlamydiales; Simkaniaceae. The record is from RNAcentral.